Molecule: unclassified non-coding RNA, 250 nt
Filed under: plant metagenome
Description: partial contains small subunit ribosomal RNA, internal transcribed spacer 1, and 5.8S ribosomal RNA
Source: RNAcentral
GUAGGUGAACCUGCGGAAGGAUCAUUAACACGUUUACCACGUAUCUAACAAACUUCGUGAACCUUAAUGUCAGGGUCACUUCUGGCUGGCAGGGAAACCAAGGUGAUUCUUGGGAGUACUCGCUGUCUAGUCGUGAUCGUAAGAUUAUGCGGUUUGAGUUAUGCAGUCGACCACCCGUUGACACCGACGCGCACGUUCUGUGUGCGGAGCCGUAGACGGUCCCGUCUGUAGAUCAUUCCGCACGAAAUCA